CCUACGGGUGGCUGCAGUGGGGAAUAUUGGACAAUGGGGGGAACCCUGAUCCAGCCAUGCCGCGUGUGUGAAGAAGGCCCUCGGGUUGUAAAGCACUUUCAGUGAGGAAGAACGCCUGGUGGUUAAUACCCAUCAGGAAAGACAUCACUCACAGAAGAAGCACCGGCUAACUCCGUGCCAGCAGCCGCGGUAAUACGGAGGGUGCGAGCGUUAAUCGGAAUUACUGGGCGUAAAGCGCGCGUAGGUGGCUUGAUAAGCCGGUUGUGAAAGCCCCGGGCUCAACCUGGGAACGGCAUCCGGAACUGUCAAGCUAGAGUGCAGGAGAGGAAGGUGGAAUUCCCGGUGUAGCGGUGAAAUGCGUAGAGAUCGGGAGGAAUACCAGUGGCGAAGGCGGCCUUCUGGACUGACACUGACACUGAGGUGCGAAAGCGUGGGUAGCAAACAGGAUUAGAUACCCUAGUAGUC
RNAcentral lists this ribosomal RNA (465 nucleotides) under Vreelandella stevensii. RNAcentral describes it as "partial 16S ribosomal RNA". It matches the Rfam family "Bacterial small subunit ribosomal RNA", at positions 338 to 795 of the family's 1533-position model. Lineage: Bacteria; Pseudomonadati; Pseudomonadota; Gammaproteobacteria; Oceanospirillales; Halomonadaceae. The record is from RNAcentral.